AGUGAACGCUGGCGGUAGGCCUAACACAUGCCAGUCGAACGGCAGCACAGUAAGAGCUUGCUCUUACGGGUGGCGAGUGGCGGACGGGUGAGGAAUACAUCGGAAUCUACUUUUUCGUGGGGGAUAACGUAGGGAAACUUACGCCAAUACCGCAUACGACCUACGGGUGAAAGCAGGGGAUCUUCGGACCUUGCGCGAUUGAAUGAGCCGAUGUCGGAUUAGCUAGUUGGCGGGGUAAAGGCCCACCAAGGCGACGAUCCGUAGCUGGUCUGAGAGGAUGAUCAGCCACACUGGAACUGAGACACGGUCCAGACUCCUACGGGAGGCAGCAGUGGGGAAUAUUGGACAAUGGGCGCAAGCCUGAUCCAGCCAUACCGCGUGGGUGAAGAAGGCCUUCGGGUUGUAAAGCCCUUUUGUUGGGAAAGAAAAGCAGCAGGUUAAUACCCCGCUGUUCUGACGGUACCCAAAGAAUAAGCACCGGCUAACUUCGUG
RNAcentral lists this ribosomal RNA (492 nucleotides) under uncultured bacterium. RNAcentral describes it as "partial 16S ribosomal RNA". It matches the Rfam family "Bacterial small subunit ribosomal RNA", at positions 29 to 507 of the family's 1533-position model. The record is from RNAcentral.